GACAGCGGCUGCUCAGGCACCCGCACGGACCCCGUCUCGGACACCCGGGCAGGGCUUUUUCAAUUUCAAACAGCUGCGAAUAAUGAGAUGCCUUUCAUUCGGGGUUGGGUUCUUUGCCCGUUUUCCAUUGCAGUUGCAAGUUCUUAAAAAGUCAUCUUUAUGGAAAGAAAAAGUUAUCGUAGAUAAGAAGAUCCCCCUAAUGAUCUGGAAAGCAAGGCAUAAAUGAAGGAAAUCUCCUGCUACUGGAGGACCAGCAAGGAAGAAGAUGUAACAGCAGUGGAAAACAAGAGGAGAUAUGCAAACUACUGGUUUGUUCUGCCUCCUUAGUCUUUGGAAGCAACUUUGUACCAUUUUUGAGGGUUUUUCUAGAGUUCAGUCUACUGUUCUGUGAAACACUCACCCGAUUUCAGGUGCCAUUCAGUGGCAUUUCAGAAUUUCCUUUCAAAGCUCAUUAUAAUUUGCUAGUCUAUUGCCUGUAGACAAGGUUACACUUUGUGGUUCAAUAUUAGUCUGUAAACAUUGUUUGCAAUAUACGAUGUUUGUAAACAUUGCUGGAUGCUCUGAAAGUCAUAAUCAGGAGACUAGAUGGAGCACUGGAGAGGUCA
This 605-nucleotide long non-coding RNA is filed under the name Cyanistes caeruleus (blue tit). Its description in RNAcentral is "lncRNA (ENSCCEG00000013691.1)". The record is from RNAcentral. Lineage: Eukaryota; Metazoa; Chordata; Aves; Passeriformes; Paridae.